GCGGGAUUUGGGGGUCAGGGGUGUAAUCCCGAGAAUGCGGUGAAACCAGGCCGAGGCCUGGAGGCAGCUGUGGUAGCCCAGGGCAGGGUGGAAGGCAGUGGACUGGGACUGGGCCAGGGCGACAGGCUCGAGGACCCAGGCCACACGGGCACCCUGGGAGGUGGGGCGCAGUGUCACAUGACGCAGAACAUGAAUCACAGGCCCAGGGCUCACAGUAAGCACAUGGACAAGGGGGCACAGACUCACAGGCCAGAUGGACAUCCAGCCAACACCGGGCCAGACAAGUGGACACAGGGCCGCUGUCACAUACAGACCACGGGGCGACAUGGCCCUAGGGGACACACAGACUUGACGUCAUAAUGCACAAGGCAGGUCACAGAGCUCGAGGGACCUGGGCAGGGGCCGCUUGGCAUUUCUGCACUGGAAUCCUGUGAGACAAGGGUGGUGGCCGCUCUGGAGGUGCCUGGGGCGGUCCCCUCAAGGCCCUUCCGGGCUUACUCCGUCUUCCACACUGUUGAGCAGCUUUCCUACCUCAUGGCAGAGGAUAAACACUGUGGUCACAUCCAGGCAGACCCGGCCCAGGCCCCGCAUCCGGGUCUCGAUCCCGUGCAGUGGAGCGUUUCCCAAGACACU
RNAcentral lists this long non-coding RNA (633 nucleotides) under Homo sapiens (human). Its description in RNAcentral is "non-protein coding lnc-ZNF680-31:1". Lineage: Eukaryota; Metazoa; Chordata; Mammalia; Primates; Hominidae. The record is from RNAcentral.